UCCUUCCCAGCCUUCCUGGGGAAGAGAGACUGAUGGAGCAGCUGCUCAAGAGGAAAAUUCUCUUCUCUUCCAGGAAUCUGGGGCACCAGCCAAGGCCCUUGUGUUACGAAAGGGAGUUUAUAUUCUGAAAUUGAACAUUACGUUUGUACCCUUGUCUUUUUAAGAUGCGCUGGCUGGACGCUCUCUCUGAUCUGGGAGGUUUUCAAGUAUUUAUACACCUUUCCCCUGACUCCUCCUCCUCAGAAUUGUAGAAGGAGAGAGAGCAGCCAGGUUAUCUUCAUCCUGUUGCCCUGGGUGAUGGUUGCUAGGAGGCGGGCUUCCCUUAAGGGGAGAGGCAUCCUGGACCAGCCCAGGCUCUUUUGGCCCUCGGACCUCAGAGAGGGGAGGUGGGGCAGCAGGGGAAGAGGAACAUUGGACCCCCAAAAUGGCGAUUACAAUUUCCUGCUUCAAGUAUUCAGACUUGUACCUCAGUAUUGACCCUCUGAAACAAUCAAGUCCUGAGAUAGUUCUGCACUUCAGGGAAGGCUGCUCCUAAAAUGAGCAUGAAAGGCAUCUUUAUUCAAAAAUGUCCCUGAAGAAUUACAAUGUUGGACCAGACGAAUCACUCCAAGAAGAACCUCUUGGAAGAUGCUUGAAGGUCCAUUGAAGGUGGGCCAACUGCAGGUGACUUACUGGAAUGGAAGUUAACGUCUUCAGGAAAUCAGUAAAGUCAAUAGGUCAAUAAAUAAAUACAUUCGUCACCAUCGCAAAGGUCAAUAAAUAGCUUGGUGUCUUAGCUUGAUAGAACUGUU
This is a non-coding RNA of Pantherophis guttatus, 791 nucleotides long. Lineage: Eukaryota; Metazoa; Chordata; Lepidosauria; Squamata; Colubridae. The record is from RefSeq and is a predicted model, not a curated record.